Schistocerca serialis cubense is the source of this 107-nucleotide small nuclear RNA. The record is from RefSeq and is a predicted model, not a curated record. Lineage: Eukaryota; Metazoa; Arthropoda; Insecta; Orthoptera; Acrididae.
GUACUUGCUUCGGCAGUACAUAUACUAAAACUGAAACGAUACAGAGAAGAUUGGCAUGGUCCCUACGUAAGAAAGACACGAAAAAAAAAAAAAAAUAGCUGGCACGG